CGGAGGCAGCGGAGUUGCAGCGCGCGCCGCUCGGUGAGUGUGUCUCCCGGGCGCCGAGAGCGGGGAGGGGGGAGGCGGAGGACGAGCCGGAGCAGGAGGAGCAGGAGCCCGAGCCGGAGCCCGAGCAGGAGCAGGAGCAGGAGGGGGAGAAUGCCCGGAGCCUCGGCCGCUGCCGCCGCCGCGAUGCUCCCGGCUCAGGAGGCUGCCAAGCUCUACCACACCAACUAUGUGCGGAACUCGCGGGCCAUCGGCGUGCUGUGGGCCAUCUUCACCAUCUGCUUUGCCAUCGUCAACGUGGUGUGCUUCAUCCAGCCCUACUGGAUUGGCGACGGCGUGGACACUCCGCAAGCCGGCUAUUUCGGGCUCUUCCACUACUGCAUCGGCAACGGCUUCUCCCGGGAGCUGACCUGCAGGGGCAGCUUCACGGACUUCUCCACGCUGCCCUCGGGCGCCUUCAAAGCCGCCUCCUUCUUCAUCGGCCUCUCCAUGAUGCUCAUCAUCGCCUGCAUCGUCUGCUUCACCCUCUUCUUCUUCUGCAACACGGCCACCGUGUACAAGAUCUGUGCCUGGAUGCAGCUCACCUCCGCUGCCUGCCUUGUGCUUGGCUGUAUGAUUUUCCCUGAUGGCUGGGAUUCUGAUGAAGUAAAACGGAUGUGUGGAGAAAAGACAGACAAGUACACUCUUGGAGCUUGUUCUGUCCGCUGGGCAUACAUCCUGGCGAUUAUUGGGAUUUUGGAUGCCCUGAUCCUCUCGUUUUUGGCAUUUGUUCUUGGUAACCGACAAGACAGCUUGAUGGCAGAAGAACUGAAGGCAGAAAACAAAGACGACGGAAAUGCUUAAGCAAACUAAGGUAGUGUGAGACGUCACCAUUCUGUACAGAGUGAUGCAGCCAGGAACACAUUCUGCUAAGCCAAUAUUCUCUAGAAUGAGCACAAAACAAGUCAAAUAACAGCUAAACAAAUCAAACAACAGCUUUUGUACAUCAACAUCCAAAAGGAAGAUGCUUGGGAAAGAUCAGAGUACAGAGAUGGAUACGGACAAGAGUGAAGCACCCUCUCGUGAAAGCAACUUCUAAAUCUAGAUGGGCAGAGAUGGGAGUGUUUUCUGGAAAGAGAUACAAUCAUGGAUCAAACACCACCAGCUCAUUGGAAACUGUCAUUGAAUAAGAUCAGAUAACAUUCAUGAGAAAUCAUAUUCAGGAAAUACAUUGGGAAAGAGAAAUACACUUGUGCUAGCAUUAACGUGUAAAAUAAUGUAUGUACUGAGGUUUGUAAACUGUCCUUUUUUAAUCAAACUGAAAACAAAAGCUUUAAUCUUUCAACGUCAUUUUUAAAAAAGGCAGUCUAUCUAAAUUAUUACGAUCUCAGUAAAGCACCAUUUGUUAAGCAAGUAUCUUAGAAAAUGCCUCUGAAUGUUUGUUUUCACAGGAUCCUCGCUAUCUGGGUCCCCAUCUCUGCCAUUCAUUUCACCAUGUAAUUAGUUACAGCCACUCUGUUAAGAGAUGGACUGGUACAAACUUUUUACCAAGUCUUUGUUCAGUUUAAUCUGUCCGUACAAGUUAUUACUGAGAAAGUGUUUUUGACACAUACUACUACUCCAUUCAGCUGUAUAUUACAGGAAGUACAUCUUUACACCAUAGGAUCCUGAGCAACAUAGAAUUCCUUGUCUUUCAGGAAAUAAUGCCAAGGAAUACUGAAAAAUCUAGAAAGCUCAUUUUCACCAUGGAUGCUCACAUGUAAUAUAUAGGCUUCUAUCAAAUAAACACUUUUUCUAAUUCUCCCUAGUAUAUGCAUAGGAAUUUAAUACACUUUAUAAAUAGGUAUCUAAGAUAUCUCCUUUUCCCCUUCUAUUUCUUUAUCAUACAUGCCAUCAGAAAUUUAUAUCCUUUUAUUUACUAACAUCAUUUUUGUUUUUUUAAAAAAAUGUUCCAUUAAUCCUAUUUCUAAAUGAUAGUAAAUGGUACUAGCAAAAAUAAUAAUUUAAUAGCCUUAGAAAUAAAUGAAUAUAUACUUAUACAGGUCAAAGAAACUUGGUAAGAGUAAGUUGACUUUUUGUUUACUAAUGUUGAUUUCAAAAAAUACUCAGAUUAUUGGGGUCGGUUAGCAUUUGAAAGUAGUUAUAACUGAUCAGUUGUCUUCAGUGAUCUUCCACUCCCAGGCUUCCCCAUGCCCCAUCAUCCUCACUACAUAUCCUACAAUACACAACAGCAGAAAAUAUUUCAUUGUGAAGUAGCCAAUAGCUUGAGAAUGAACACAAGCUAAACUGUACAUGCAGAAAUUAUCAGUGUUAAGUCAAAUCACGUUCUUUACUUGAGCAAAAAAUACAAGCAUACAGAAUGCUUUCAUUCAUAGACUCAAAAAUAAGAUCAACUUAGCAAAUAAUAUCAGAUAGAGGAUAAGACAGGAAGGUGGAUUUCUCUUACCCUCUAUUUUUUAGGACAGCACACCAAAUUUAGCUAAAUGCUUCUGGUAUUGACCAUCUUUUCACCAAAAAUUAAAUGAUGUUUCAAAUGACUGAAAGUCUAUUACAGGUAUGCUUCAAUAAGUUAAACACAAUUCAGAGAUUUUCUUUUUGAAAAACAUGCGAAUACUUAUUAUCUCUAACUGAAGUAUUAACCAUUCUGGGAGUUAUUUGUUGCUUUAAAUAUUAGCUCUCCCACUAUAUUCAAAACACCCUCCUUACUAGAUUUAAUUACACACAACUUUUCAAGAAUCCAUAUUUUAUUUAAAGAAAGGUACCUUUCCACUUUAUCUACAACAAAAAUAAAAGGUGUUGACUUUCCUAAUCCAUACAAAUUGUGGAUUCCAUUGGGAGUCCCAUAAUAGUGAACUAAUAGUGAACUUGCAAAAUAUGAAAAAGUGCUUCCUAUCUACAUGAAAACACUUUUUAAAAGUUUCUUUUCCCAUUAAACCUAAGUGUAAUUUAACAUGCCACAGUGCUCUGAAGAUGGGUCAUUGAUGAUGUACCAUUUGUACAUAGAUAAUACACAUGUAAAUCACUAAAUGUUAAGUAUAAGAAGUUGUUUUUAUCUUUUUUAAGAAAAAUAAAUAAAGUGACUCCCUUU
Molecule: RNA transcript, 3064 nt
Organism: Sorex araneus (European shrew)
Lineage: Eukaryota; Metazoa; Chordata; Mammalia; Eulipotyphla; Soricidae
Gene: LHFPL3
Gene name: LHFPL tetraspan subfamily member 3
Exons: 5
Source: RefSeq, a predicted model, not a curated record